GUCCUAGUAGCUUAAAAUAAAAGCACUG
Molecule: transfer RNA, 28 nt
Filed under: Podarcis tiliguerta
Lineage: Eukaryota; Metazoa; Chordata; Lepidosauria; Squamata; Lacertidae
Description: partial tRNA-Thr
Source: RNAcentral